Long non-coding RNA from Ipomoea nil (Japanese morning glory), 1050 nucleotides. RefSeq lists it as uncharacterized. Lineage: Eukaryota; Viridiplantae; Streptophyta; Magnoliopsida; Solanales; Convolvulaceae. The transcript has 5 exons. The record is from RefSeq and is a predicted model, not a curated record.
ACCAAAAAAAAAAAAAAAAAAAAAAUCCAACCCUGAUUUAUGAUUCGGCAUUUUCUACCGUCUGUGUUAUUUUCACCGCAAAGACAUGGCUCUGGCGAGUGGCGAAUCAAGGGCUUUUGGCGCGGGAAGGAUAAUGGGCUGCAUCUCUAGGGUAAUUGGUUCUCGAGUGAGGAGUUCAGAGAUGAGAAUACGGGCGGUGAUGAAGAAUACUCCACCGGAAGGAGUGGUGGAGAUGAUGAGGAGGGAGCCGUGGGAAGAGUAGUGCUUAGAACUGCCAGAAACAUCGCCGUAUUAGACUAGAGUUUCGCUAUAAAUUUGGUGGAAUUAAUCAGGAGACAUGGUGCCUAACAUCCUCAAACCAGUGAAAGGUCUGAUAUUUUAACUUUCUGAUUUGGGAUAUAUGGAUUUGGACUAAAUUUAAUAGGCCAAAAUCUCUCAAAUUCAAGUAUCCAACUAAUGGCACAUAUGAUGAAAGAAUUGAUAUUGUUCAAUAUGUAUUAAAGGGAAAGCUACUCGUAUAUGACUACCCAGAUCUUUUUGCUGGAUUUAAUAUCCUUACAGGUGUUGGAGAUUAUCCAUUGAAUCCUUCAAGAAAGUGCUCCGUUCCAAAGGAACUACUUUCUAGAGCAAUUGGCUUGUUUGACCAAUUGAAGAGCGUGCAGGAUGGGCGAUACGCCCUUCUAAUGGUAUAUGAGGAAUAUCAGAAAGGGAGAAUAUGCCGGGAGGAGGUGCUGGGAGAGGCGAGGUAUCUUUUCCUGUCACAUUAUGGGGUGGCAGAGCUGGCUGAGGGAUUGUAAAUGCAAAGCAGGAAAAGAGAUAUAUUUGCAGAAAUAUAUGGAAGGGGGGGAUGUUGUUGUUGUUGUUGUUGUUGUUGUUUUUUUUUUUUUUUUUUUUUUUUUUUUGGUAAUCUCUUUUUCCUGUGGCUUUGUUGAUGAGAACUUUCUAGUUAUUUGCCUAAGUUGAAAAGCAUGUACCCUGUAACUCAAAAUUACUCUUGAGGUUAUUUGCCAAUAGGCUUUUGGCAUUUGAAUUUGGAGCAGGGUUCAUUGA